UCGCCUGUUUAUCAAAAACAUCUUUUCUUGUUAGUUUUUGAAGUAUGGCCUGCCCGCUGACAUUUGGUGUUGAAGGGCCGCGGUAUUUUGACCGUGCAAAGGUAGCAUAAUCAUUAGUUCUUUAAUUGUGAUCUGGAAUGAAUGGCUUGACGAGGCACGGGCUGUCUUAGUGUUGAAUGUUUUAUUGAAUUUGGUCUUUGAGUUAAAAUUCUUAGAUGUUUUUGUGGGACGAGAAGACCCUAUAGAGUUUGACAUUUGGUUUAUUUACUUGUUUGUUGUUUGUUUAUUUUUGGUGAGUGGGCUUUUUGUUUUGUUGGGGUGAUGGGAGGAAUGUACUUAACUCCUCUUAGUUUUGGUUAUAUUGAUUUAUAAUUAUUUGAUCCAUUUAUUUUGAUUGUAAGACUAAAUUACCUUAGGGAUAACAGCGUAA
RNAcentral lists this ribosomal RNA (430 nucleotides) under Coptotermes gestroi. RNAcentral describes it as "partial 16S ribosomal RNA". The stretch from base 1 to 177 matches the Rfam family "Bacterial large subunit ribosomal RNA", at positions 1796 to 2031 of the family's 2925-position model. Lineage: Eukaryota; Metazoa; Arthropoda; Insecta; Blattodea; Rhinotermitidae. The record is from RNAcentral.